This 497-nucleotide ribosomal RNA is filed under the name uncultured bacterium. RNAcentral's name for it is "partial 16S ribosomal RNA". It matches the Rfam family "Bacterial small subunit ribosomal RNA", at positions 28 to 507 of the family's 1533-position model. The record is from RNAcentral.
GAUGAACGCUGGCGGCGUGCCUAAUACAUGCAAGUCGAGCGAACGGACGAGAAGCUUGCUUCUCUGAUGUUAGCGGCGGACGGGUGAGUAACACGUGGAUAACCUACCUAUAAGACUGGGAUAACUUCGGGAAACCGGAGCUAAUACCGGAUGAUAUUUUGAACCGCAUGGUUCAAAAGUGAAAGACGGUCUUGCUGUCACUUAUAGAUGGAUCCGCGCUGCAUUAGCUAGUUGGUAAGGUAACGGCUUACCAAGGCAACGAUGCAUAGCCGACCUGAGAGGGUGAUCGGCCGCACUAGAGCUGAGACACGGUCCAGGCUCCUACGGGAGGCAGCAGUAGGGAAUCUUCCGCAAUGGGCGAAAGCCUGACGGAGCAACGCCGCGUGAGUGAUGAAGGUCUUCGGAGCGUAAAACUCUGUUAUUAGGGAAGAACAUAUGUGUAAGGAACUGUACACAGCUUGACGGUACCUAAUCAGAAAGCCACGGCUAACUACGUG